This 464-nucleotide ribosomal RNA is filed under the name uncultured bacterium. Its description in RNAcentral is "partial 16S ribosomal RNA". It matches the Rfam family "Bacterial small subunit ribosomal RNA", at positions 28 to 507 of the family's 1533-position model. The record is from RNAcentral.
GACGAACGCUGGCGGCGUGCUUAACACAUGCAAGUCGAACGAUGAACCGGUUUCGGCCGGGGAUUAGUGGCAAACGGGUGAGUAACACGUGGGCAAUCUGCCCUGCACUCUGGGAUAAGCCCGGGAAACUGGGUCUAAUACCGGAUACGACACUCCGAGGCAUCUUGGGGUGUGGAAAGUUCCGGCGGUGCAGGAUGAGCCCGCGGCCUAUCAGCUUGUUGGUGGGGUAAUGGCCUACCAAGGCGACGACGGGUAGCCGGCCUGAGAGGGUGACCGGCCACACUGGGACUGAGACACGGCCCAGACUCCUACGGGAGGCAGCAGUGGGGAAUAUUGCACAAUGGGCGAAAGCCUGAUGCAGCGACGCCGCGUGAGGGAUGACGGCCUUCGGGUUGUAAACCUCUUUCAGCAGGGAAGAAGCGAAAGUGACGGUACCUGCAGAAGAAGCACCGGCUAACUACGUG